AGUGAACGCUGGCGGUAGACCUAACACAUGCAAGUCGAACGGCAGCACAGUAAGAGCUUGCUCUUACGGGUGGCGAGUGGCGGACGGGUGAGGAAUACAUCGGAAUCUACUUUUUCGUGGGGGAUAACGUAGGGAAACUUACGCUAAUACCGCAUACGACCUACGGGUGAAAGCAGGGGAUCUUCGGACCUUGCGCGAUUGAAUGAGCCGAUGUCGGAUUAGCUAGUUGGCGGGGUAAAGGCCCACCAAGGCGACGAUCCGUAGCUGGUCUGAGAGGAUGAUCAGCCACACUGGAACUAAGACACGGUCCAGACUCCUACGGGAGGCAGCAGUGGGGAAUAUUGGACAAUGGGCGCAAGCCUGAUCCAGCCAUACCGCGUGGGUGAAGAAGGCCUUCGGGUUGUAAAGCCCUUUUGUUGGGAAAGAAAAGCAGCAGGUUAAUACCCCGCUGUUCUGACGGUACCCAAAGAAUAAGCACCGGCUAACUUCGUG
Molecule: ribosomal RNA, 492 nt
Filed under: uncultured bacterium
Lineage: Bacteria
Description: partial 16S ribosomal RNA
Rfam family: Bacterial small subunit ribosomal RNA
Source: RNAcentral